RNAcentral lists this ribosomal RNA (494 nucleotides) under uncultured bacterium. RNAcentral describes it as "partial 16S ribosomal RNA". It matches the Rfam family "Bacterial small subunit ribosomal RNA", at positions 28 to 507 of the family's 1533-position model. The record is from RNAcentral.
GACGAACGCUGGCGGCGUGCUUAACACAUGCAAGUCGAACGGUGAAGCGCCUUCCUUUUUGGUGGGUGUGGAUGAGUGGCGAACGGGUGAGUAACACGUGAGUAACCUGCCCCCUUCUUCUGGAUAACCGCAUGAAAGUGUGGCUAAUACGGGAUAUUCUGGGUCUGUCGCAUGAUGGGUCUGGGAAAGAUAUUGUUUCGGUGGGGGAUGGGCUCGCGGCCUAUCAGCUUGUUGGUGGGGUGAUGGCCCACCAAGGCGGUGACGGGUAGCCGGCCUGAGAGGGUGGACGGUCACACUGGGACUGAGACACGGCCCAGACUCCUACGGGAGGCAGCAGUGGGGAAUAUUGCACAAUGGGCGCAAGCCUGAUGCAGCGACGCCGCGUGAGGGAUGGAGGCCUUCGGGUUGUGAACCUCUUUCGCCAGUGAAGCAGGCCUGCCUCGUUUGUGGGUGGGUUGACGGUAGCUGGAUAAGAAGCGCCGGCUAACUACGUG